AGGCCUAGAGAGAGAGGCAGGAUCUUAUCCACAGCCUUGAUGGCAGCUGUAGAUCAGCAGUUGCCUCUCUCUUUCUCUCCA
This is a non-coding RNA of Myotis lucifugus (little brown bat), 81 nucleotides long. The record is from Rfam. NCBI's taxonomy places the organism in Eukaryota, Metazoa, Chordata, Mammalia, Chiroptera, Vespertilionidae.